RNAcentral lists this ribosomal RNA (395 nucleotides) under uncultured Glomeromycotina. RNAcentral's name for it is "SSU rRNA". It matches the Rfam family "Eukaryotic small subunit ribosomal RNA", at positions 569 to 972 of the family's 1831-position model. The record is from RNAcentral. Lineage: Eukaryota; Fungi; Glomeromycota.
AGCAGCCGCGGUAAUUCCAGCUCCAAUAGCGUAUAUUAAAGUUGUUGCAGUUAAAAGCUCGUAGUUGAAUUUCGGGAUCAAUAUAUCGGUCGUGCCUUGGUACGUACUGGUAUCAUUGGUUUCUCCUUUCUGACGAACCAUGAUGUCAUUAAUUUGGUGUUAUGGGAAGUUAGGACUGUUACUUUGAAAAAUUGAGUGUUUAAAGCAGGCUUUGGCUUGAAUACAUUAGCAUGGAAUAAUGAAAUAGGACGUUCGAACCUAUUUUGUUGGUUUCUAGGAUCAACGUAAUGAUUAAUAGGGAUAGUUGGGGGCAUUAGUAUUCAAUUGUCAGAGGUGAAAUUCUUGGAUUUAUUGAAGACUAACUACUGCGAAAGCAUUUGCCAAGGAUGUUUUCA